Molecule: long non-coding RNA, 403 nt
Organism: Phlebotomus papatasi
Lineage: Eukaryota; Metazoa; Arthropoda; Insecta; Diptera; Psychodidae
Exons: 2
Source: RefSeq, a predicted model, not a curated record
CUCAUCGAUCCUCAUCGAAAAUUUUGUCGGUAUUACACCGAUUUUUCGAUUUAAUUUUACUAUACUUUUACGGGUUUCUCGAUGAACUGUUGACAAGAAAUGCGAAGUGCGUGUGAAAACCGCGAGAGGCGUUAGUUGCUCUUGACAUUUCGAGCUGAAAAGGUGCAUUCUGUGUUGCUCCGUGUUUUCCACCAAUUUUCAUGAAAAUCAUCAUCAAAGUCCGGAAAAAAGGUGGAAGGUGUUUCCAGGAGGGUCUUAUCUGUCACUUCAAGGGACUCACGGAGCAAGCCCCAUCUCAACUUAAAGAUUCCAGGAGAGAACAUCAUCUCAGAAUUCUAAGCUCACACAACACACCUUCACACAUGUACACAUUGUGUUGUUAAUAAAUCAAUUUGAAUUGAAA